CCCGGCACGGGGAGGUAGUGACAAAAAAUAAACGAUACGGGACUCAUCCGAGGCCCCGUAAUCGGAAUGAAUACACUUUAAAUCCUUUCAUGAGGAUCCAUUGGAGGGCAAGCCUGGUGCCAGCAGCCGCGGUAAUUCCAGCUCCAAUAGCGUAUAUUAAAGUUGUUGCGGUUAAAAAGCUCGUAGUUGGUUCUGUGUGCCAUGCUGUUGGUUCACCGCCUGUCGGUGCAACUAACAUGUCAUGGAACGUCUUGUCGGUGGUAAUUAAAGACCUAUUUUUUAAUAAAAGUUUUACUUUUAUUAAAUAUAGGUUCCUUUAAUUGCCGAUUAGUUCCUACCGCGGUGCUCUUCAUUGAGUGUCGAGGUCGGCCGACAAGUUUACUUUGAACAAAUUAGAGUGCUUAAAGCAGGCAAAAUUCUGCCUUGAAUAGUGGUGCAUGGAAUAAUAGAAUAGGAUCUUGGUUCUAUUUUGCUGGUUUUCUGAAUCCAAGGUAAUGAUCAAUAUGGACAGGCGGGGGCAUUCGUAUUGCGACGUUAGAGGUGAAAUUCUUGGAUCGUCGCAAGACGAACUAGAGCGAAAGCAUUUGCCAAGUAUGUCUUAAUUGAUCAAGAACGAAAGUUAGAGGUUCGAAGGCGAUCAGAUACCGCCCUAGUUCUAACCAUAAACGAUGUCAGCUAGCGAUCCGCCGAUGUUUUUCUCAUGACUCGACGGGCAGCUCCUCGAGAAAUCAAAGCUGUUUGAUUCCGGGGGAAGUAUGGUUGCAAAGCUGAAACUUAAAGGAAUUGACGGAAGGGCACCACCAAAAGUGGAGCUUGCGGUUUAUUUGACUCACCACGGGAAACCUCACUAGGCCCAGACAUUGGAAGGAUUGACAGAUUGAUAGCUCUUUCUUA
This 894-nucleotide ribosomal RNA is filed under the name Hoplonannus sp. UCR ENT 00122804. RNAcentral's name for it is "SSU rRNA". It matches the Rfam family "Eukaryotic small subunit ribosomal RNA", at positions 450 to 1264 of the family's 1831-position model. The record is from RNAcentral. Lineage: Eukaryota; Metazoa; Arthropoda; Insecta; Hemiptera; Schizopteridae.